Molecule: ribosomal RNA, 279 nt
Filed under: uncultured bacterium
Lineage: Bacteria
Description: partial 16S ribosomal RNA
Rfam family: Bacterial small subunit ribosomal RNA
Source: RNAcentral
UGCCAGCCGCCGCGGUAAUACAGAGGGUGCAAACGUUGCUCGGAUUUACUGGGCGUAAAGCGCGUGUAGGCGGACUCGCAAGUCGGUUGUGAAAUCCCUGGGCUCAACCUAGGAACUGCAUCCGAAACUGCUUGUCUUGAGUAAUGGAGAGGGUGGCGGAAUUCCCGGUGUAGAGGUGAAAUUCGUAGAUAUCGGGAGGAACAUCAGUGGCGAAGGCGGCUAACUGGCUCGGUACUGACGCUGAGAUGCCAAAGCGUGGGGAGCAAACAGGAUUAGAUA